Molecule: ribosomal RNA, 658 nt
Filed under: uncultured Acidobacteriota bacterium
Lineage: Bacteria; Pseudomonadati; Acidobacteriota
Description: bacterial SSU rRNA
Rfam family: Bacterial small subunit ribosomal RNA
Source: RNAcentral
GAGUUUGAUCCUGGCUCACAAUGAACGCUGGCGGCGUGCCUAACACAUGCAAGUCGAGCGAGAAAGCGGGCUUCGGCCCGUGAGUACAGCGGCGAACGGGUGAGUAACACGUGGGUAACCUACCUGGGAGCGGGGGAUAACCUGGGGAAACUCGGGCUAAUACCGCAUACGUUCCGAGAGCUUCGGCUCGAGGAGGAAAGCUGGCCUCUACACGUAAGCUGGCACUCCCAGAGGGGCCCGCGUCCGAUUAGCUUGUUGGUGGGGUAAUGGCCCACCAAGGCUGCAAUCGGUAGCCGGCCUGAGAGGGUGAUCGGCCACACUGGGACUGAGACACGGCCCAGACUCCUACGGGAGGCAGCAGUGGGGAAUAUCGGACAAUGGGCGAAAGCCUGAUCCAGCAACGCCGCGUGGAGGACGAAGGCCUUCGGGUCGUAAACUCCUGUCAGGUGGGACGAAAAGACCGGGUUCAAUAGGCCCGGUUCAUGACGGUACCACCAGAGGAAGCCCCGGCUAACUCCGUGCCAGCAGCCGCGGUAAAACGGAGGGGGCAAGCGUUAUUCGGAUUUACUGGGCGUAAAGGGCGCGUAGCGGCGUGGUAAGUCAAAGGUGAAAUCCCUCGGCCCAACCGAGGAACUGCCUUUGAAACUGCCGCGCUAGA